RNAcentral lists this transfer RNA (85 nucleotides) under Felis catus (domestic cat). It matches the Rfam family "tRNA". Rfam says of the family: Transfer RNA (tRNA) molecules are approximately 80 nucleotides in length. RNAcentral also lists the same sequence under 2 other names. The record is from Rfam by way of RNAcentral. Lineage: Eukaryota; Metazoa; Chordata; Mammalia; Carnivora; Felidae.
GCCUGGGUGGCUUAGUUGGUUAAGCAUCCGACUUCAGCUCAGAUCAUGAUCUCUCAGUCCAUGAGUUCGAGCCCCAUGUCGGGCU